This 590-nucleotide ribosomal RNA is filed under the name uncultured bacterium. RNAcentral's name for it is "bacterial SSU rRNA". It matches the Rfam family "Bacterial small subunit ribosomal RNA", at positions 38 to 633 of the family's 1533-position model. The record is from RNAcentral.
GGCGGCGUGCCUAAUACAUGCAAGUUGUGCGGUAAGGCUUUGCACUAAGUACUUAAUUUUUUAAGUAUUUUGUGCAGAGUACACGAGCAGCGGACGGCUGAGUAACGCGUAGGAAUCUACCUUGAAGUGAGGGAUAAGCAUCAGAAAUGAUGUCUAAUACCGCAUGUGCUCCACGGAGUAAAGCUUCGGCGCUUUAAGAAGAGCCUGCGUAUGAUUAGCUAGUUGGUAAGGUAAUGGCUUACCAAGGCGAUGAUCAUUAGCUGGUCUGAGAGGAUGAUCAGCCAGACUGGGACUGAGAACGGCCCAGACUCCUACGGGAGGCAGCAGUAGGGAAUUUUCCACAAUGGGCGAAAGCCUGAUGGAGCAACGCCGCGUGCAGGAUGAAGGCCUUCGGGUUGUAAACUGCUUUUAUAUGUGAUGAUUAUGACAGUAGCAUAUGAAUAAGGAUCGGCUAACUCCGUGCCAGCAGCCGCGGUCAUACGGAGGAUUCAAGCGUUAUCCGGAAUUACUGGGCGUAAAGAGUUGCGUAGGUGGCAAAGUAAGCAAAUAGUAAAAGCGUACAGCUCAACUGUAUUUAUAUUAUUUGAAAC